This 447-nucleotide ribosomal RNA is filed under the name uncultured bacterium. Its description in RNAcentral is "bacterial SSU rRNA". It matches the Rfam family "Bacterial small subunit ribosomal RNA", at positions 329 to 793 of the family's 1533-position model. The record is from RNAcentral.
GGCCAGACUCCUACGGGAGGCAGCAGUGGGGGAUAUUGCACAAUGGGGGAAACCCUGAUGCAGCAACGCCGCGUGAGUGAAGAAGUAUUUCGGUAUGUAAAGCUCUAUCAGCAGGGAAGAGAAUGACGGUACCUGACUAAGAAGCCCCGGCUAACUACGUGCCAGCAGCCGCGGUAAUACGUAGGGGGCGAGCGUUAUCCGGAUUCACUGGGUGUAAAGGGAGCGUAGACGGCCAUGCAAGCCUGGAGUGAAAGCCCGGGGCCCAACCCCGGGACUGCUCUGGGAACUGUGCGGCUGGAGUGCGGGAGGGGCAGGCGGAAUUCCUGGUGUAGCGGUGAAAUGCGUAGAUAUCAGGAGGAACACCGGCGGCGAAGGCGGCCUGCUGGACCGCGACUGACGUUGAGGCUCGAAAGCGUGGGGAGCAAACAGGAUUAGAUACCCUAGUAC